CUGUAGUGUUAAACCAUGCAAUCAUAUUUAGGGAAAUCUCAAAAUAUGAUUAGACAUGACACAAAUAUGCUUGUAAGCAAAACUGUAGACUGUGCAGAAAUGCAUAUGUAAACAUAGACAGUGAUGACAAAAGUCGAUAUGGCCUAGUGUGGGCCAAAUACAGUAAGCAGAAUGAGGCAUCGCUGCCAAAUACAGUAAGCAGAUUGAG
Pelobates cultripes (western spadefoot toad) is the source of this 208-nucleotide non-coding RNA. The record is from the annotation of a GenBank genome assembly. NCBI's taxonomy places the organism in Eukaryota, Metazoa, Chordata, Amphibia, Anura, Pelobatidae.